This is a long non-coding RNA of Parasteatoda tepidariorum (common house spider), 1448 nucleotides long. The record is from RefSeq and is a predicted model, not a curated record. Lineage: Eukaryota; Metazoa; Arthropoda; Arachnida; Araneae; Theridiidae.
GAAUUUAAUAUUGAUUAUGGGAGGUUAGCUUUAUUUUUGUCUAUGUUAUCUUUUGAUCGCCAGCCAUGGAUCUCUUCCCAUGCUCCUAACUGUCCGUUGGGAACAAUUCACUUACUUUUAAUUUCGAAUUAUUGGCUAUGAGACUGGGUGCUUUGGCCUCUCAGUCCCAACCGUUGAAAUGAUAACUUUAUAGAAAUUCUGGAUGAGAAGAGAACAAAAAUGAUUCUCUGGAUCCCUUUAACAGACUUUCAUUCCUUUAUUUUACAAUUUUAAAAUAUGACCGUGUUCAUUAUAAUGAGAUACACAUAAUAAAUCAAUUUUUCCUGACCGAUUCUUUCCCUCCUUCAAAUAUAAAUUUGAAUGCUUCUCACACGGCCAGCAAUUAUACUUAAAUUCUACAAAGAAACUACAUACAGUCAUGAAUUUGGACUGAACUGCCAUGAAACACGCUAUGAGGUUUGCAUAAACAACCUUUUUAUAUCGAUAUAGAAUCUGCCUUUAACAAAAUAAGCCUAGAGAAACCUACCGAAAUGGAGGAUGAAUUAGCAUUUGCAAAAGUAUAAAGCAUUUUUAAACUGAGGAUAAAUUCACCUUCUCAAGGUUUAUUUUAGAAUUCAUGCAAUGGCUUUAAUAUACUUUCUUGAUCACUUUCGAAGUAAAACUUAUCAGAAAGUUUUCAAUACAAACAAAAUGUUGUAUUUGAGGGCCUGGAUAAAGCUGGAAUGAAAAAAAGGCAAAGACAAAGUUUACAGUUCCUAUAAAUAAAAGCUAAAAAAAAAAUAUUUUUUGUAAAGGUUUUUGGAUGCCUUUAUUCUAUAAGUUUUAAAAGGGGUAACUUUCUGAGGCAACCAAAUAAAAAUGAAAAUAAAAUAUUUGCUGUAAGUUGCCUACUAUAUGAUAUAAUACAGGAUGUUUAUAAAGUCCCAGACCCAUUUUGACGUUUAAUAACUCACAAAAUAAUAAAAAUAGAUUAAAAUUAAUAACAUAAAUGAUUAGAUAGACUCAAAAAGUUUCAUGACCGUUGUCAAUGAACUGGUUGGAGCAGUUUGGUGCAAUUGGUAACUGGCGUGAGGAAAAAAAUUAACUUAGAAUUUAAUGUGUUUUAAUUUUACUAUAUAACUGCUUAAACAAUUUUCGAAUCCUUAUGUUUACCUUUUAAAUUUGCAAUUUUAUAGGAAUACGGUGCAUUGUUUUACGAAACCAGUGCAAAAACAGGAGAUAGCAUUCCUGAAGCUAUUGAAGGUUUAGCAUGCAUUUUAAAAACAAAGGAAGACGAAACAAUAGAGCAAGUCCUUAAACUCCAAGAAGAAGAAGAAAAGAAGAGGAAAAAGAAAUGUUGCUGACUCUCAUAUCAGUUGUUCUGGUAUCUCAAGUAUUUCAUUCUGUACAUUGUUUUCUUAUCGUAUAGUUUAUAUUAUUGUAAAAUAAAGUAUUUUAUUGAUUUUUUU